GGCGGGUAUGGCGCGGUUACGUAUCCCUGCGGGUCGUGGCCGCGAAAACGUGGUUCGACCUCUUGAUCCGCUUC
This 74-nucleotide transfer RNA is filed under the name Chromatiales bacterium USCg_Taylor. RNAcentral describes it as "tRNA-Thr". The record is from RNAcentral. Lineage: Bacteria; Pseudomonadati; Pseudomonadota; Gammaproteobacteria; Chromatiales.